RNAcentral lists this ribosomal RNA (514 nucleotides) under uncultured bacterium. Its description in RNAcentral is "bacterial SSU rRNA". It matches the Rfam family "Bacterial small subunit ribosomal RNA", at positions 28 to 559 of the family's 1533-position model. The record is from RNAcentral.
AAUGAACGUUGGCGGCGUGGAUUAGGCAUGCAAGUCGAGCGUGUACCCGCAAGGGGAAAGCGGCAAACGGGGUAGGAACGCGUAGGUCACGUACCCCUCGGCCGGGGAUAGCCACGGGAAACUGUGGGUAAUACCCGAUGACGCCGAGAGGCCAAAGGUGUGAUUCCGCCGGGGGAGCGGCCUGCGAAGUAUUAGCUAGUUGGUGAGGUAACGGCUCACCAAGGCGAAGAUGCUUAGGGGGUGUGAGAGCAUGACCCCCACCACUGGGACUGAGAUACUGCCCAGACACCUACGGGUGGCUGCAGUCGAGAAUCUUCGGCAAUGGGGGCAACCCUGACCGAGCGACGCCGCGUGUGGGAUGAAGGCCCUUGGGUUGUAAACCACUGUCAGAGGGGAUGAAACGAUCAUGGGUUCUCCCAUGGUCCUGACAUAGCCUCAGAGGAAGCACGGGCUAAGUUCGUGCCAGCAGCCGCGGUAAUACGAACUGUGCAAACGUUAUUCGGAAUCACUGGGA